This 1183-nucleotide long non-coding RNA is filed under the name Ananas comosus (pineapple). RNAcentral's name for it is "long non-coding RNA (ACOM_LNC029213)". Lineage: Eukaryota; Viridiplantae; Streptophyta; Magnoliopsida; Poales; Bromeliaceae. The record is from RNAcentral.
AAACUUGGGAAAAGCUUCGUUAGAUCCCCUCCGUUAUCCCUCUCUCUCUCUCUCUCUCUCUCUUUCUCUUUCUCUCUCUCUUUCUUCUUUUCUUUUUUCUUUUCCUUUCUUCUCCACAGACCUCACCUCCCACCAAACCCUCCCUCCUCCACAGCACGCCCACCUCCCACCUUGCCCACUUGCCCCAUCGAAGCAGUUCUCGCCCGCCCACUUGCUUUCUCACUUUCUCUUUUUCUUCUUUUCUUUUUCUUUUUCCUUUCUUCUCACAGAGCUUACCACCAAACCUUCCCUCCUCCACACCCCGCCCACCUCCCAUCUCGCCCACCUCGCCCACUCGCCCCCUCGCCUGCUCGCUCGCUUGCUGGCUCGCUCGCCCCCUCGCCUACUUCUAAGGUUUGAUUCUUUCUUUUUAUUUUUUUUAGUUGUUUGGUGAAUAAAUUAUAGGAAAAAAAAAUUAUUUGGUGAAACAAAUUACAGAAAAAAAAAAUGUUGUUCUGUUUUUAAAAAAUCUAAAAAAAAAAUUUGAUUUUAUUAUACAAAAUCUGAAUUUAUUAUAAAAUCUGAUUUUAUUAUACAAAAUCUGAUUUUAUUAUUCUACCAUCUAUUUUAUUAAUCUCUUGGCUACUUGCAAUUCUUGUCCUUAGAACUAUUGAUAUUGAGUAAGUGAUUACACAAACUCUGAAUUUAUUAUAAAAUCUGAUUUUAUUAUACAAAAUCUGAUUUUAUUAUUCUAGCAUCUAUUUUAUUAAUCUCUUAGCUACUUGCAAUUCUUGUCCUUAGAACUAUUGAUAUUUAAUAAGUGAUUACACAGGCUCUGAUUCUAUGAAAGGAAAGAUAGUGUACGGAAUUCAUGUGUAUUAACAUUCUUUGAUGAUUUUUUUCUAUGUACAGGAAGGUUGCUCUUCUUAUUUCUUAACUACAUUUUUGCAAUUUUGAAUGAGAGUUUUUAAGUGUUUAAUGCUUUGAGUACAGUGAUUUAGACUACUGAAAUCUACAGUUGGUAAAUAUCAUGCUUCUUGCUUAUUUUAUUUUUAUUUUUAUUUUUUCUGAAGGUUGGAGUCAAGUGGAUUAGAUAAUAAUGUUGAGAUAGGUGAAAUUUAUUUCAGAUAGUCUGUCACAGUAAACUAAAAAGGAUGGUGCUACAUUUACUACAAAAGGCUAAGAAGAGGCAGAUAGCUCAAGU